This 301-nucleotide ribosomal RNA is filed under the name uncultured bacterium. Its description in RNAcentral is "partial 16S ribosomal RNA". It matches the Rfam family "Bacterial small subunit ribosomal RNA", at positions 509 to 807 of the family's 1533-position model. The record is from RNAcentral.
CAGCCGCCACGGGAAUACGAAGGGUGCAAGCGUUACUCGGAAUUACUGGGCGUAAAGCGUGCGUAGGUGGUGGUUUAAGUCCGUUGUGAAAGCCCUGGGCUCAACCUGGGAAUUGCAGUGGAUACUGGGUCACUAGAGUGUGGUAGAGGAUAGUGGGAUUUCCGGUGUAGCAGUGAAAUGCGUAGAGAUCGGAAGGAACAUCUGUGGCGAAGGCGACUAUCUGGGCCAACACUGACACUGAGGCACGAAAGCGUGGGGAGCAAACAGGACUAGAUACCCCCGUAGUCCCUGUCUCUUAUAC